RNAcentral lists this ribosomal RNA (465 nucleotides) under uncultured bacterium. RNAcentral describes it as "partial 16S ribosomal RNA". It matches the Rfam family "Bacterial small subunit ribosomal RNA", at positions 28 to 507 of the family's 1533-position model. The record is from RNAcentral.
GACGAACGCUGGCGGCGGGCUUAACACAUGCAAGUCGAACGGAAAGACCCCUUUGGGUUUACUUGAGUGGCGAACGGGUGCGUAACACUGAAGUAACCAGCCCUUGACUUUUGUAUAUCUUCAGGAAACUGGGGCUAAUACCGGAUAGGAAUCCUUGCUGCAUGGUGUGGGUUCGAGAGCUUCUGCGGUCUUGGAUGGACUCGCGGCUUAUCGGCUGGUUGGUGCGGUAGUGGCUUACCAAGGCUUUGACGCGUAGCAGGCCUGAGAGGGCGACCGGCCACAUUGGGACUGAGAGACGGCACAGACUCCGAAGGGAGGAAGCAGGGGGGAAGAUUGCACCAUGGGCGGCAGCCGGAUGCAGCAACGCCGCGUGCGGGAUGACGGCCUUGGGGUGGUAAACCGGUUUCAGCAGGGGCGAAGCUUGUGGUGACGGUACCUGAAGAAGAAGCACCGGCUAACUACGUG